CCUACGGGCGGCAGCAGUGGGGAAUAUUGGACAAUGGGCGAAAGCCUGAUCCAGCCAUGCCGCGUGUGUGAAGAAGGCCUUCGGGUUGUAAAGCACUUUCAGUGGGGAAGAAAGCCUUGGGGCUAAUACCCUCGAGGAAGGACAUCACCCACAGAAGAAGCACCGGCUAACUCCGUGCCAGCAGCCGCGGUAAUACGGAGGGUGCGAGCGUUAAUCGGAAUUACUGGGCGUAAAGCGCGCGUAGGCGGUCUGAUAAGCCGGUUGUGAAAGCCCCGGGCUCAACCUGGGAACGGCAUCCGGAACUGUCAGGCUAGAGUGCAGGAGAGGAAGGUAGAAUUCCCGGUGUGGCGGUGAAAUGCGUAGAGAUCGGGAGGAAUACCAGUGGCGAAGGCGGCCUUCUGGACUGACACUGACGCUGAGGUGCGAAAGCGUGGGUAGCAAACAGGAUUAGAUACCCCAGUAGUC
RNAcentral lists this ribosomal RNA (465 nucleotides) under Vreelandella stevensii. RNAcentral describes it as "partial 16S ribosomal RNA". It matches the Rfam family "Bacterial small subunit ribosomal RNA", at positions 338 to 795 of the family's 1533-position model. Lineage: Bacteria; Pseudomonadati; Pseudomonadota; Gammaproteobacteria; Oceanospirillales; Halomonadaceae. The record is from RNAcentral.